GCACCCGUAGCUCAGGUGGAUAGAGCGAUAGUUUCCUAAACUGUGUCAGCCGCAGGUUCGAAUCCUGCCGGGUGCACCA
This 79-nucleotide transfer RNA is filed under the name Fodinisporobacter ferrooxydans. Its description in RNAcentral is "Alicyclobacillaceae bacterium MYW30-H2 tRNA-Arg". It matches the Rfam family "tRNA". From Rfam's summary of the family: Transfer RNA (tRNA) molecules are approximately 80 nucleotides in length. The record is from RNAcentral. Lineage: Bacteria; Bacillati; Bacillota; Bacilli; Caryophanales; Alicyclobacillaceae.